GUGGGGAAUAUUGGACAAUGGGCGAAAGCCUGAUCCAGCCAUGCCGCGUGAGUGAUGAAGGCCUUAGGGUUGUAAAGCUCUUUUGUCCGGGAAGAUAAUGACUGUACCGGAAGAAUAAGCCCCGGCUAACUUCGUGCCAGCAGCCGCGGUAAUACGAAGGGGGCUAGCGUUGCUCGGAAUCACUGGGCGUAAAGGGCGCGUAGGCGGACUUUUAAGUCGGAGGUGAAAGCCCAGGGCUCAACCCUGGAAUUGCCUUCGAUACUGGGAGUCUUGAGUUCGGAAGAGGUUGGUGGAACUGCGAGUGUAGAGGUGAAAUUCGUAGAUAUUCGCAAGAACACCGGUGGCGAAGGCGGCCAACUGGUCCGAAACUGACGCUGAGGCGCGAAAGCGUGGGGAGCAAACAGGAUUAGAAACCCGGGUAGUCC
Molecule: ribosomal RNA, 425 nt
Filed under: uncultured bacterium
Lineage: Bacteria
Description: partial 16S ribosomal RNA
Rfam family: Bacterial small subunit ribosomal RNA
Source: RNAcentral